RNAcentral lists this non-coding RNA (690 nucleotides) under Haemaphysalis mageshimaensis. The record is from RNAcentral. Lineage: Eukaryota; Metazoa; Arthropoda; Arachnida; Ixodida; Ixodidae.
UAAUUAAGUUUGGUUAAUAAGAAAAUUUUCUCUAAAUUCUUUAUAAUUUUAGCCAGAAUUGAAAAAUUAGAAGAUAAAGUUUAUUUAAUAAUUAAUAAUUAUUGAGAUUUAGAGAAUUCCCUAGUUAAUUUUGUGCCAGCAACAGCGGUUAUACAAAAAGGGAAUUUUUGAAUUAAGAAUUUAAUUUUUACUUUUAAAAACUCUAAUUAAAAAAUAAGGUGAAAUUUAUUUUUAUUUUUAUUUUUAUUUUAAAAUUAAAAUUCUAUUAUAAACUAGGAUUAGAUACCCUAUUAUUAAGAAAAUAACAUUGUUAGUAUAUAAAUAUUAUGAAAACAAAAAAUUAUGGCGGUAUUUUAAGCUUUUCAGAGGAAUUUGCUCUUUAAUGGAUAAAACACCUAAAUCUUCCUAGAAUUGGUUAAGCAGUUUGUAUACCACUAUUUAAGCAAUAAUUUAUUAUUAUUUCUAAAAUUUAUUCAAAUGAAAAAAGUUAAGUCAAGGUGCAGCAUAAAUUUUAGAAUGAAGUGAUUUACAUUUCUUUUAAGAAAUUUAGUAUGAAAAUUAUUUUUAGGAUUUGAUAGUAAAAUUUUAAUAGAAAGAAAAUUUGAAUUAAGCUCUAAAAUAUGUACAUAUCGCCCGUCGCUCUUUAUUAAAGAUAAGUCGUAACAAAGUUAAAGUACUGGAAAGUGCUUU